GACGAACGCUGGCGGCGUGCCUAAUACAUGCAAGUUGAGCGCUGAAGGUUGGUACUUGUCCCAACUGGAUGAGCAGCGAACGGGUGAGUAACGCGUGGGGAAUCUGCCUUUGAGCGGGGGACAACAUUUGGAAACGAAUGCUAAUACCGCAUAAAAACUUUAAACACAAGUUUUAAGUUUGGAAGAUGCAAUUGCAUCACUCAAAGAUGAUCCCGCGUUGUAUUAGCUAGUUGGUGAGGUAAAGGCUCACCAAGGCGAUGAUACAUAGCCGACCCGAGAGGGUGAUCGGCCACAUUGGGACUGAGACACGGCCCAAACUCCUACGGGAGGCAGCAGUAGGGAAUCUUCGGCAAUGGACGAAAGUCUGACCGAGCAACGCCGCGUGAGUGAAGAAGGUUUUCGGAUCGUAAAACUCUGUUGGUAGAGAAGAACGUUGGUGAGAGUGGAAAGCUCAUCAAGUGACGGUAACUACCCAGAAGGGGACGGCUAACUACGUG
RNAcentral lists this ribosomal RNA (497 nucleotides) under uncultured bacterium. Its description in RNAcentral is "partial 16S ribosomal RNA". It matches the Rfam family "Bacterial small subunit ribosomal RNA", at positions 28 to 507 of the family's 1533-position model. The record is from RNAcentral.